RNAcentral lists this ribosomal RNA (546 nucleotides) under uncultured bacterium. RNAcentral describes it as "partial 16S ribosomal RNA". It matches the Rfam family "Bacterial small subunit ribosomal RNA", at positions 355 to 896 of the family's 1533-position model. The record is from RNAcentral.
UGGGGAAUAUUGGAGCAGGCAGCCACUGUCCAGCAAUGCCGCGUGUGUGAAGAAGGCCUUCGGGUUGUAAAGCACUUUUAUCAGGAGCGAAACGCUGUCGGCUAAUACCCGGCGGAACUGACGGUACCUGAGGAAUAAGCACCGGCUAACUUCGUGCCAGCAGCCGCGGUAAUACGAAGGGUGCAAGCGUUAAUCGGAAUUACUGGGCGUAAAGCGUGCGUAGGCGGUUUCUUAAGUCUGCUGUGAAAUCCCCGGGCUCAACCUGGGAAUGGCAGUGGAUACUGGGAGGCUAGAGUGUGUCAGAGGGUGGUGGAAUUCCCGGUGUAGCGGUGAAAUGCGUAGAGAUCGGGAGGAACAUCAGUGGCGAAGGCGGCCACCUGGGACAACACUGACGCUGAGGCACGAAAGCGUGGGGAGCAAACAGGAUUAGAUACCCUGGUAGUCCACGCCCUAAACGAUGCGAACUGGAUGUUGGUCUCAACUCGGAGAUCAGUGUCGAAGCUAACGCGUUAAGUUCGCCGCCUGGGGAGUACGGUCGCAAGACUG